GCGCAGAAGAGAGAAGCGCGAACGACAGUUCAAGAGGAGCGAGUCAAUGUUAACUGAUUAAAGACCACGAAAAAAAAGACGAUUUCGGAAUAUUUUCGACGGAUGCCGUAUAUUUCUAGUUUGCUUGUAAGAAAUGUUCCUAAUCUACAUAGCUGGACAUUAAUCAGCUCUAGUGUUUAAGCGCUUAAAAAUGGAGUUUAUUAAAGAAGAGAUUGAAGACAUGAGUGAUCCAGAACCGUCCAGAAUAAAACAUGAAGAUACUGAGGAACAAACAGAUUGGAUGGAAGAGAAACAGCAAAGACAUGAACUGAAUGAAGUGGAGGAGGAACAUCACAACUUCAUAACUCAAACAAAAGCCAAAAAGAGACACACCUGCACUCAGUGUGGAAAGAGUUUCACACAAAAAGGAGACCUUAACAAACACAUAAGAAUUCACACUGGAGAGAAACCGUAUACAUGCUCUCAGUGUGGAAGGAGUUUCAAUCGUACAACAGCUCUCAGUAAACAUAAGCUCUGUCACUCUGGAGAAAAACCAUUUAACUGUGAUCAGUGUGGUAAAAAGUUUAUUUCGACAUCAGAUCUAAAAAGACACCUGAAAGUUCAUUCAGAUGAGAAGCCUUAUGUGUGUUCUUUCUGUGGAAAGAGCUUUUCAAGGCUCGAUCAUUGUAAACAGCACCAGAAAACCCACAGUGAAGUGAAAGAUCAUGUGUGUUGUGACUGUGGGAAGAGCUUUACUAGAGCUGACCAACUGAAGCAGCACCAAAAAACUCAUACUGGAGAAAGACCUUACAAGUGCUCAUCUUGUGACCAGAGUUUCUCUCAUUCUGGAAACCUGAAAGAACAUGAGCGAAUUCAUACUGGUGAUAUGCCGUACCAGUGUGCUCAGUGUGGGAAGAGUUUCAAACAUAAGAAAAGCAUUCCCUAUCAUAAGGAAAAAUGUUGUAAGGUAUUACAGUUGUCUGUUAAAGAGGAAGUUGAAGACAUAAAUGAACCAGAACCAUCCAGGAUAAAACAUGAACAUACUGAGCAACUAACAGUUUUGUGUCCAAUCUUGAUUCUUUAUUAGUCAGGGAUGUAACCGACAAAUGAUUGCCCGCACGCUCUCCAUCAUUAACUGUUAAGAGGAUUUACAGUUAAAACCAAGUAGGCCAGAAAUGGUGAAUGAAGACCAGGGCUGUGUCUAAAAUCUUGAGUAGGUACUUGUUUUGAAUAAGUAAUUACUUCACGACCGCUUACUUUUGUCACAUAACCUGCCCUACAGUAGGGAAGUAUGUGAUUUUUUGGAUGCAGCCCAGGAGUCAGAGAUGCUGUAGGAGCCAAAUGUUAUGAUUGUUCAACCACUAGAUGGUGGUGUGCACCAGUGGUGUAGGUCACCUGUUCAUGUCACAUGAUAUUUAAACUUCCCAUGGGUUGUAUCAGGAGGGACAGGGGGCGGGAACAUGUGGUUCUUAGCAUAAAUCUGUGUGCUUUUAAAAACUGUUAUAUUUUUCAUUAAAUGGACAGCAUUGAAGCCGA
Molecule: long non-coding RNA, 1515 nt
Organism: Ctenopharyngodon idella (grass carp)
Lineage: Eukaryota; Metazoa; Chordata; Actinopteri; Cypriniformes; Xenocyprididae
Exons: 2
Source: RefSeq, a predicted model, not a curated record